Molecule: long non-coding RNA, 192 nt
Organism: Amblyraja radiata (thorny skate)
Lineage: Eukaryota; Metazoa; Chordata; Chondrichthyes; Rajiformes; Rajidae
Exons: 2
Source: RefSeq, a predicted model, not a curated record
GCUCCUGUAUGUAUCUAGCUCCUGUAUGUAUCUAGCUCCUGUAGGUAUCUAGCUCCUGUAGGUAUCUAGCUACUACAGGAUGGGUGACACUGGCCAUCAUGUGAAAUCAUUCUAACUGUGUUUGGGAUCGAUUGGGAUCAUUUGUCAAUAUCAGAUUUGGGGCAAUAUUUGGGUUUUAAAAGGGAAAUGUGA